UCUGUGUGACGUCAACCCUCCAGAGGGCUUCAGCCUCCGUAGGGGCGUCUGUAUCCACAUCGCCUUCUUCCUGAAGACCCUGCUGAAAAUGGAGGAGUCGGUGCUGGUGCUACCCCCUUGGGGCCGCCUCUACCAUUGGCAGAGCCUGGCCAUCCACCAGGUCCUGAUUCCCUGGUCUGACUUUUUUGAUCUCUCAAGUCUCAACAGAAACAUCCCUGACACUGAGUACGAACAGUUCAUUGCAGAUUCAGUCAUGUAUUCUGAGCCCCUGGAUUUUCCACGUGAAUUUUAGAUUGAUUGCGAAGUCCAGCAAAACACCACCUGGGAUUUGGAAUCUCUAAUCUAUUGUAGUCUUCAGUGUCCAAGUCUGGGACUUCUUCCUCACCUCUAUUGGAUGCUGAUUCAGAAGAGACACGACCUCCUGGAGAACCUCUGUUGCCACGGAGCUG
This is a long non-coding RNA of Camelus dromedarius (Arabian camel), 449 nucleotides long. RefSeq lists it as uncharacterized. The record is from RefSeq and is a predicted model, not a curated record. The transcript has 3 exons. NCBI's taxonomy places the organism in Eukaryota, Metazoa, Chordata, Mammalia, Artiodactyla, Camelidae.